UACGUAGGGACCAAGCGUUGUUCGGAUUUACUGGGCGUAAAGGGCGCGUAGGCGGCGCGGUAAGUCACUUGUGAAAUCUCUGAGCUUAACUCAGAACGGCCAAGUGAUACUGCAGUGCUAGAGUGUGGAAGGGGCAAUCGGAAUUCUUGGUGUAGCGGUGAAAUGCGUAGAUAUCAAGAGGAACACCUGAGGUGAAGACGGGUUGCUGGGCCAACACUGACGCUGAGGCGCGAAAGCCAGGGGAGCAAACGGG
Molecule: ribosomal RNA, 253 nt
Filed under: uncultured bacterium
Lineage: Bacteria
Also listed under: 3 other names
Description: partial 16S ribosomal RNA
Rfam family: Bacterial small subunit ribosomal RNA
Source: RNAcentral